This 294-nucleotide ribosomal RNA is filed under the name Enterobacter roggenkampii. RNAcentral's name for it is "partial 16S ribosomal RNA". It matches the Rfam family "Bacterial small subunit ribosomal RNA", at positions 1032 to 1326 of the family's 1533-position model. The record is from RNAcentral. Lineage: Bacteria; Pseudomonadati; Pseudomonadota; Gammaproteobacteria; Enterobacterales; Enterobacteriaceae.
AGACAGGUGCUGCAUGGCUGUCGUCAGCUCGUGUUGUGAAAUGUUGGGUUAAGUCCCGCAACGAGCGCAACCCUUAUCCUUUGUUGCCAGCGGUUCGGCCGGGAACUCAAAGGAGACUGCCAGUGAUAAACUGGAGGAAGGUGGGGAUGACGUCAAGUCAUCAUGGCCCUUACGAGUAGGGCUACACACGUGCUACAAUGGCGCAUACAAAGAGAAGCGACCUCGCGAGAGCAAGCGGACCUCAUAAAGUGCGUCGUAGUCCGGAUUGGAGUCUGCAACUCGACUCCAUGAAGU